GAUGAACGCUGGCGGUGUGCCUAAUACAUGCAAGUCGAGCGAACAGACGAGGAGCUUGCUCCUCUGACGUUAGCGGCGGACGGGUGAGUAACACGUGGAUAACCUACCUAUAUGACUGGGAUAACUUCGGGAAAACGGAGCUAAUACCGGAUAAUAUAUUGAACCGCAUGGUUCAAUAGUGAAAGACGGUUUUGCUGACACUUAUAGAUGGAUCCGCGCCGCAUUAGCUAGUUGGUAAGGUAACAGCUUACCAAGGCAACGAUGCGUAGCCGACCUGAGAGGGUGAUCAGCCACACUGGAACUGAGACACGGUCCAGACUCCUACGGGAGGCAGCAGUAGGGAAUCUUCCGCAAUGGGCGAAAGCCUGACGGAGCAACACCGCGUGAGUGAUGAAGGUCUUCGGAUCGUAAAACUCUGUUAUUAGGGAAGAACAAAUGUGUAAUUAACUAUGCACGUCUUGACGGUACCUAAUCAGAAAGCCACGGCUAACUACGUG
Molecule: ribosomal RNA, 497 nt
Filed under: uncultured bacterium
Lineage: Bacteria
Description: partial 16S ribosomal RNA
Rfam family: Bacterial small subunit ribosomal RNA
Source: RNAcentral